This 24-nucleotide non-coding RNA is filed under the name Arabidopsis thaliana (thale cress). Lineage: Eukaryota; Viridiplantae; Streptophyta; Magnoliopsida; Brassicales; Brassicaceae. The record is from RNAcentral.
AGCCAUAGCACAAACGUACUAGGA